RNAcentral lists this ribosomal RNA (253 nucleotides) under uncultured bacterium. RNAcentral describes it as "partial 16S ribosomal RNA". It matches the Rfam family "Bacterial small subunit ribosomal RNA", at positions 524 to 776 of the family's 1533-position model. The record is from RNAcentral.
UACGUAGGGUGCAAGCGUUGUCCGGAAUUAUUGGGCGUAAAGAGCUCGUAGGCGGUCUGUUGCGUCGGCUGUGAAAACCCGGGGCUCAACCCCGGGCCUGCAGCCGAUACGGGCAGACUAGAGUUCGGCAGGGGAGACUGGAAUUCCUGGUGUAGCGGUGAAAUGCGCAGAUAUCAGGAGGAACACCCGUGGCGAAGGCGGCUCUCUGGGACGGUACUGACGCUGAGGCACGAAAGCGUGGGGAGCAAACAGG